Molecule: long non-coding RNA, 16690 nt
Filed under: Gossypium barbadense (sea-island cotton)
Lineage: Eukaryota; Viridiplantae; Streptophyta; Magnoliopsida; Malvales; Malvaceae
Description: long non-coding RNA (GBAR_LNC007526)
Source: RNAcentral
UUUUUUUUUUUUGAAGUGUAGAGGAAAAAGGACGGAAAAGGGGUUUUGUUGUAUUAGGAAAAGGGCCAAGGAUCAGCUAUGGACAUAGCAAGGCGAAAGAGUGUAAGGCAGACUUCAGAGAGAGAUGUUGGUAUAUUUGACAUCGUUACGCCUCUCAACAACCGAGUAUUUCAUUCGGAACCGGACACAAAAUUCCUAGCCUUGUAUUGUUUUGUCUUUUGUUUCUCUGUAGAACUAAACUCAAGACCGGAGAAAAUAGGGGCAGAGUAAGGGGAGAUGAUGAAAGACCUGACUAUAAAUAAAUAGACAACGCAAAGAAAACUCAAAGAGGUUGAAAAAAUGAAAGUGGGAGAAAUUGAAAGGAUGAACAAGAGUGAGAAAGAGAGGUUUAAUCAUAAAAUAAUAAUCCAUGAAAAAUCUUUUAUCUUUUAAAAUGAAUAUCUAUGUUUUUAAUUAUAUAUUUAUUCAUAUAGUUGGUUAUAUAAAAUUAUUCUUUUGAAAAUACUUCCCGACCUUGAAAACAACAAUUAUUCUUUUUAAAAUUAGAAUAAAAUAUUGAUUUUAAAACAAUGAAGAGGAUAAGCCGUGGGAAUGCUUUGAAAUGAAGUGAUGAGGAAAAUUGAUGUUUACUUUUCCUCCUAACCCAUUUCACACAACACAUUUGUUUAAUACUAUAAUUGUGAGUGUCGCCAUUUGAAUUAUAAAACUAAAUUGCAACUUCCACAUAAAACUCUACCCAAGCCUCUCUUUCACCAGUUACUGCCCGGAGUUUUUUAAUGCAUGAAGUGGCGGUUGUUUGCUCUCGUCUCGUCUGAAAAACAGAAAAGUUAUUCUUAUAUUUCCUUUUACGUACGGAAGCCUGUACCUGCACCUUCUGCAUCUACCCCUUGGCUGCUUCCAAGGGACAUUAUACGUAUUGUACGAUAUACACAAACUUUGAUUACGUCAAAAACCUUGACUUUCAUAUAUCAACCUUUUUAUUUGUUGGGUCGUUGGUCAUGUCUCGCUAGUAGUUUUAAGAUUUCAAGCGUUUGUAUUUGAGUUUUAAGUUGUUUUAAAUUUAAAUUUUAUCAUCUAUAUAGUGUACCUAUUCAUGAGUUGAAUCAUUUGAUUCAGAUCGAAAGCUCAUCUAAAAUUUGAGAGUAUUUAAACAAAAAUAUAGGCAUGAAAAAUUGGCUUAUAAAAAAAAUAAAGCUCAUUUAAAAAAUGGGCCGGUCUUUGAGUAAUGCAUUUUUGGCCUAGGCUUGGCCCAACUCGAAAUCAUUAAAGGACAAAAAAUUUUGCUUUUUGUUUUUUAAUGUUAUUUUCUCCUUAUUUUGCUACCAUUUUACUAUUAUGUUGUUAUUGUUUGUAUGUUGUAUAAAACCUGUUUUAUUGUUAAUUUUGUUAUUAUUUUAGAGGCAUUCAUUAAUUUUGUUAUUAUUUUAGAGGCAUUUACUUGUUAAGUUGCAUCUAUCUUAAUGUUAUUUAAGUAAACAUAUUUUUUAAAAUUUAUUUUUAAUUUGUUGGGAAAUAUUUAUUUUGAUCUAUUUAGUAUUUUUGAUGUAUUAUAUAUAUUUUAAAAAUAUAAAAAAUUACUAUGGGUAGGCCGAACUCGGGUUUUAGCAUUUUUAUCUAAGUCCGUCUUGGACAAAAUUUUAGGCCCAUUUUUCAGCUAGGCCCUAGCCAAGGAAACAUGCCUAAAUUUUUAGUUGGGCACAACCUAAACCCAACCCCACCCCACCCCACCCCUAAACACCUCUAGUGUAUAAGGGCAAAGUUAGAAAUUUUUUGGAGUAAACUUAAAUUAUAUUUUUUUAUAAUAGUAAAAAUACAAUUUUGUCAUUUUAAUAAUCUAUAUCUUUAUCAUUUUUAAAUAAUUAAAUAAAAAAUUUAUCAUUUUUGAGAGGGUCAAAGUACAAUUUUAUCAUUACUAAUUUAAAUUUUUAUAAAUUAUAAAAAGUUUAAAUAAAAAAAUAUUCAUUUUAGGAGAGGUUGAAGCCCUUGCCACCCCCUAGAUCCACCCCGCAUAUGUAGGCCUUAUUCAAAUUCGUUAUUGUAUAGAUCAAUCAUUUAUUAUAAGUGGUUUGUAGUGUACUUGUAAUUAUAAUUGCAAUUGUAUUUGUAAACUCCUUUAAAAAAUUUCACUGCAUGACCUGAUAGGAAAGUAUUGAAAAGUAAAAAUUUAACAAGUACCUUGAAAUAUAUUGUUAGACAAAAUACAUUAGCGAACAAAAUAAAUUAAAUAUAAAUAAACACAUUGAAAUAAAAUAUAAAUAGUAUGAUUUAUAAUUAAUUUAUCAAAUAUGAAAAUCAAAUAAAACCAUAAUAAAUAAUUGAAAUAAAGGAGAAUCGAGAUUUUACAAAACAUUGAGGCUUGUGAAACACAGUUUCUUUAAGACAGUUCGGCCACUCCUACGGUACUUGGAGAAAUGUUGGUCGAAUGUCUCCCAGGAUACAACAACAACAGUGAUUAAAGUAGUAGCACCUCUACAACGAUCAACGAACGAACUUUGCAUUUUUUUAUCACCAGAAUAUUGUAAAAAUACGGAGAGGUAAAGAAGAGUUUUGAAAUGAAAAGAAUUUUAGUAUAGGAAAUUAUUAGAAUGUGUGUGUAAUCCUACAGAAUACACAGCCUUUUAUAGGUAUUUAGGAUAUUGGAAAAUUUUGGAAAUAACCAUAACAUCUGCCAUUAAGGAGCCAAAAAUUAAUUCAGAUACUGUCCAUAUAUAAGCAAAUCAUUUGGGCCCCAUCGAUCUAGACAAUUUCACAUCGCCCAUGUUAUACAGGUGCAUCCUAACCCCAUUGAGUUUGAACCUACACCUCCCUACGCGCGAGACAAAAUUACAAACUUAAUCAUUCAAUUAUUUUUUAAGGGGGUUCACAUAUAUAAACCCAUCUCACACUUCGGUAUUUAACCAAUGUGGGAUCUAAGCUUUUAUUUUUCCUUAACAAUAUUUUCAAGUAGCUUACUUAGAGCAUCAAUUUCUCAUUCAUCACUCAACCAUUUUAAGCAUAUGAUAUACCGUUGUAAAGGUCUCAUACAGUAGAAUAUGAAACCAUAAUUUUAUAAUUCAACUCUCCACCUUUACCUAUUGAGAAUAUGCCUCAAAGUUUCUAUAAAAUAUAUUUUUUUCAACAUAUAUUUAAAAAAUUUAAAAUAUAAUUCAAAUUAACUUUAUGUACAAUUUAACAAUUUCAUUGUCGAUUUUCUCAUCUUAUUAACAUAAAUCAUAUAAAUCAAGUUUUGAGUAAAUAAAAAAAUCUAACUAUUUGAUAGAUAAAAAAAAAAAAAGGUCCAAGUGCCAAAUCUAUAUUUAAGGAUAAUAAUUCAUAUCGUUAAUAUAUAUUUUGUCCCAUGAAUUUGAUUAUUUGGACUUAACUAACAAUCUCAUAAAAUCACACGUGGCAAGCAUGAAAAAAAUUUAAAAUAUAAAAACCCAAAAAGAUACCACAACAAUUAUUAUAUAAAAUAGGGUGAUUAGACUUACGAAGAAGAAAACAUAUAAAUAACGUGAAAUUUUUCCUGAAUAUGAUAAAAAUAUUAUAAAAAAUACAAAAAUUCUAUUUAAAAAAAACCCUAUAACUGAGAGUUUUUAUUAAAUUUCUAACGAUAUAAAUUUUUUUCUAAAAAUACCUUAAUUUGUUUCUAAAAUUAUCUUUUUUAUAUUAUUAUUUUAAAAUUAAAUAUAUAUAUAAUUACUUUAAAAAAAAACAUAACAUCUAAGUUUAUUUGAAUCCAAAAAUCUAUUUAUUUGGAUUCAUUCUAGACAUGAAUUAUUUUUUUACAAGUUCAUAUAUUUAAAAAUUUUUAUUAUUGCUUACUAUUAGCCACAUGUUAUAAUAUGAGAUCAUCACAUGUUGUUGUAUUAUUGGUUGCUAGUGUCGCACUAUCACAUUCUAAUUUUAAUGAUACAAGUAUUAAAGUGUGACGAAUUCUAAGCUGGGUCUAAAAAAAUUAAAUACUAAAUAUAAGUGUUUAAGUUUAAAGAAAAAUUAUAUACUAACCCCUCAAAUGUGAUAAAUUUAUCCGAUUAAUCUAAAUUAUAGGUUUUGAAAAAGAAAAAAAAAAUCUAAAUGAUGGGCAGAGUUAACCCCUUAGUUUUACUAUUGGUGAAAAAAGAGUUACCUUGAGCUACUGUUUAGUUAGCUGAAAUGACCAUUUCAUUUCCUGUGAGAUUUUUGGGCUACCUGAAUUUUCAUAUAAAUCUUCUUCCCGUUGACCCAAAAAUAAAACAUGCUUCUCGUGUGGCAGGGGCCCCAAAAAGACCCAGAUCUGAACACAAUGGGGAUUGGGGAAGGGUAAUUCAAAGGGCUAAAUUACUUUUUAAUCCCUGAAUUUGGCAAAAUUUUCCAACUUAAUCAUUCAACUUUAUUUUUUUCCACAUCAAUCUUGAAACUUGACUAAUUUUCUUAAUUUUGAUCCUGUAACACUUAAAACAUUAUAAUUUUUAAUAAAAAAAAUUAAGCAAUAACGUGACACAUUUCACAAGAUCAAGAUUGAAAAAAAUUAUCAAAUUCAAAAAAUAUAUAUAUAAAAUUCAGAAAUUAAAUGUUGCGCAUUCGCGUGUAAUGCUUGACAAUGGCAGCCAGGUUGCAGUCAUUAAGCUUCAACCCUAGAGCAUAACAAACAUACACAUCCAAACAAAAAGCACAUAGGGCAGACAAGAAAAGGACAUUAAGUAGAAAUCCCAAAACUAGGUUAUCCACCUUAAUUAGUCAAAAAUGGUACUACAGGUUGUUACAAAUAAAAGAAAGCAGUGUCAAAUCUAAACAUACAGAUAGCUUUCUGACAUAUGAUUAGAACUAAACCAUCAAUGAAAUGAAGUAAGAAAAAACCAAGUUAUUGCCACGACAAAUGACAAAUGAAAAUAAUUAUCGUCAUCUCAAGGGAGGUUGCAAUAAAACCCGAGUCACACAGUCAAAGCAGGUACAAACUAUACCAGAGAAGGGCCAGAAUCUCAGUUUGGUGGAAGAAACUAAGAUACCAUAAGCCGGAAGAAAUGAGUUGGGGGAUCAAAGCAAUCUAAGAAACUGAUCAAUUCAUAAAGAAAAAAACUUGGCGGACAAUAUCUUAUAUGUUUAAAAAGAGAACUUAUAUCAUAUAACAUUAAUGAGAGAAGCAACAGAAACCCCCAAAAUUAUUCUUUAUAUGUAAUUAAACAAAUAUAAGAAUACCAUAAUCAUAAAAAAUGAAAAUAUGGUAAAGGGCCUCAGUUUAGACUAAAUUUGAUCAUGAUUCAAGUCUCUUGACCUGACAUGAAAGCCCGUUCAAAAAAUGAGAAGAUUUGGGCAAAAAUAUGGAGAGAGAACGGAUUCGGCCACAAGUAAGCUUUUUUUGCCCGGGCUUGACCUAGGCUAAAUUUGGAAAAAAAUACUUGCUACUUUUUGCUGCCGUUUUAUCACUAUUUUGGUGUUGUUUUGCUAUUAUAUUGCUACAAUUUUGUUGCUAUUAUUUGUAUAUUGUAUAACUUUUGUUUUAUUGUUAAUUUUGCUACCAUUUUAGAAGUAUUUACUUGUUAAGUUACACCUAGAGGUGUUCAUGGGCCGAGCUACCCGGCUCGACUCGAAGACCCGCCAGAAAUGUGAGAGGGUUUGGGCAAAAAUAUAGACCCGAAAAAUGGGCUUGGACAAAAAAUAAGGCCCAUUUAAAAAAUGAGCCGGGCCUCAGGUAAGGUAUUUUUAGCCCAGCCAAAUUCACUAAAGUACAAAAAAAAUCUGUAUUUUUUUAUUUUUGAAUGUUAUUUUCUUAUUGUUUUCUCCUUAUUUUGCUACCAUUUUACUAUCAUGUUACUACUAUUUUGUUGUUAUUGUUUGGAUAUUGUAUAAAACUUAUUUUAUUGUUAAUUUUGUUAUUAUUUUAAAGGCAUUUGUUAAUUUUUUAUUAUUAUUUUAGAGGCAUUUGCUUGAUAAGUUGCAUCUAUCUUAUUGUUAUUUAAGUCUACAAAUUUUUUAAAAUUUAUUUUCAAUUUAUUGGAAAAUAUUUAUUUUGAUGUUUUUAGUAUUUUUAAUGUAUUAUAUAUAUUUAAAAAUAAUAUAAAAAAAUAAUAUGGCCGGGCUGGGCCCGGGUUUUAAUAUUUUUAUCCGGGUCGAGUUUAGGCAAAAUUUUAGGCCCAUUUUUUGGGCCCAGCCCGGCCGGAGCCCAAUAAAUGGGAAUGAUUUUUUAGUUGAGCCCGACCCAAAUCUGGCCCGGCCCGGCCCGACCCUUGAACACCUCUAGUUACACCUAUCUUAGUGUUAUUUAAGUAUAAGUAAUUUUUUAAAUCUAUUUUCAAUUUGUUAGAAAAUAUUUAUUUUAAUAUUUCUAGUGUAUUUGAUGUAUUAUAUUUUUAAAUUUUAUUUUUAUAUAAAAAGAUAUAAUACGGGUAGGCCGAAUCGAAUUUGAAUUUUAAAAUUUUUAUUGGAGUAAAAGUUUAGAUUAAUUUUUCAGAUAUGAGUCGAGAACCAAUUUGGCACAUGAUGAGCUGUAGUUUAGACGGAUACUCAUUACAUCAACAUGAUAUGGAAAAAGAAGCAGUGAUAUUCUUCCACGUUUUGAAGGCUUAACAAACGCAUUUAUUAUCACAUUAAUUAAUUAAUAUAACAAGGCCCGUCAACUUAUACGCUUACUAAUACAUAUAAUAAAUAAUUGAAUAAUAUUGUAUAAAUAUAAACGAAUUAGAUGGACAACAAAUUUAAAAAAAUUUAUGCCACAACAUUGUUACAUUAGCAUUUCAAUGUGAAGAUCUUCAAAAGAUUGAAUUCCAUUUUGACAUUUUGUGGUAAAAGAAAUCUCUCAUACCAUGUUAUUUCUCUAAAAAAGUAUUGGAAUUUUGAAAGUGAACAAUUAAGGAUAAUUAAUCAUAACAUUAAUAUCUUUAGUCAAUUGUACAUAAUUUUGAUUGAUAUAACAAUAAAUUUAGCUCUCGAUUUGUCAAUUUAGUUUAGUUCUAAAAAGUUGAACAAAUUUAGCUUCAACAUUUACAUAUUUAUAUAAAUGUUGCAUGCUAAAUUUAUUAAAUCAUAUUAAUAUUGUGAUUAAUUGUACUUAAUUAAUUGACAGAAAUUAAAUUACUUUUGAUUUUUUUUAAAGAGAUCAAUUUAUUCCAAAUUUCAUUGUUUAAAAAUAAGCUAUAAUCAUUGCUUCAUAGUAACUUUAAAUGUGGCAACAAGCUAAAGGAGGGAGUGAUUAAGAAUUUGGUAUUGGCAUUUGAGAUUUAAGGUUUGUUGACAGUCACAUCCUCCCUCCCUAUUGUAGUGUACCAAAAAAGAAAAACUAACUUUACAGCUUCUUAAAACCUAUGGAAUAAGCUUUUUCAUGUUUACUUUUUAUGCAUCUUUUAUAGUUCAAACCACACUUUAAAACAUUGACCAUAAAAAUAAAAUCAAGUGUACCAUUGAAAAUUUUAAUAAAAAUUCACCGCUUUGAAAAUCAGAAGAGUAAUAAAAUAUAAAGCAAUUUCCAAAACUCUUUCUAACAUAAGUGGAAGAGAGUUGGGACUUAGUAUUAACUCAAAGCAAAAUCAUUUUUACAUACAAAGGAACAUCUGUUCGGUGAAAUUUUCCAAGUAGGUUUAGGGUUUGUUACAUUAAUUAAUGACAAAAGAGUAAUAUAAUAAUUUAAAUGGUCAGAGAGCUUAAUAUUUUUUUCUUAAAAAAAAAAAAGGGUUAUUAAUUAAGAUCAGCUGGUUUGUUCCCAGUAAACAUGGGGAUGUUUUUUAGAUUUGAGACACGAGUAUAGUGCUUUGUGAUUCAGCUGUAUCCACUAGACAUGGUAAGUGUUACAGUUAAAAAGAUAAAGGCUAAAGCCUGGUCAUAACCAUGAAAACGAGGGGACCAUGGAACUAGUUUUCAUGAUUGGAUUGAUGGUAAUGACAUAAGCACUGGCAUGCACCUUUCGUCCCCCCUUCAUUUACCACCCAAUGUUUUACUGGUCGCUGCUACACAUACAUACAAAUGUAUUGGAAGUGAUCAAGUGGCAGCAGCUGCGAUGUUGGGAUAGUUCCCUUGCUUCCAAGUGUUGAAACAAGUUCAUAGCUAAUUUUAAGUUUGUAAGAGAUAAUGUAGUAUAAGACAAUAAUAUAUUAUGAUUCAUCAUAAUCCAUCACAUGUCACACAGAUUUUGUUUCAUCUUAUCGGAUAAAUCAUGGUGUUGCUCUAAUUGUUUGCCCAAUGGACCUACCUGCUCUAUUUAAUUAUACUAUAUCUCAAAUCCAAAUUUAUGUAAUUUAAUUAGGUUUUUUUUAAAAUAUAAUGUCUAAAGUUAUUCAUAACUCUUUUUAACUUGUAAAUAGAAUUGUUUAAACCCACAUCCUCUUAUACUAGCAACUCAAUUGACUUAAUUUGGCUAUUUUUAGUCUUUUUACUUUCAAUUUUAAUUUUUUAAUCCUAAUCCAAUAGGUUUGACUGUUAAAUCUUAUGCAAUGCAUAAAUUAUGGAUUUAGUCGUGUUCUUUAAUUUUAUUAUUUUUAGUUCAUGUAUUUUUCAAAUUUUAUUUUUGACUCAAAUGAUAACCUUUAGGUCUAUUAACUAAAAUAACUUGAAUUUUUUUGAGCAUUCUAUGGAAAUAACAAACUAAUAUGAUAUUAAAAAUAUGAUAACAUAUUUACUGCAUAAGGUUUUGAAAAAAGUAAAAAUUAAUUUAAUAAAUUCAACUGAUGUUAUUUGAAUUAGGACUAAAAUUUCAUAAUUCAAAAAAUAAAUAAACUAAAAAUAAUUAAAAUAUAAAAAUUAAAUCUAUCACAUAAUACAAAAACUAAUAAUAACAUUUUACAUCAUUUUAAACAAUUUAAGAGAGUCAGAAAGAGUGCUUUGCUUAGAGUCCUAGAGAAAGCAGUAACUGCUGUGGCUUGGGAUGGAGGAAAGUGAUGGGGACGAUUGAGAGGGGAGGGAUGAGAUCUCUCUACUAGCAGAAGAACUCAUUCAACUAUCAGUCAAAGGUUUGAUGGUAGUACCAAGUGCAAAAUCAACUCUGAUUUGUACAAUUUAGACAGAGAAGCUUUACAAUUCAAAAAGCUUUAGGGCACAGAUGAAAAGUAUAUGGAAGACAAGGAAAAAAUUUAAGAUCCAGAUGGUGGGGCAGAAUUUAUUUUUGAUAGUAUUGUUUGAUUUGGAAGAAGAUCUGGAGACAAUUAUGGAGGGGAGACCAUGGCUUUUUCGAAAAAGUCUUAUAUUAUUUGAUAGAUUAACUCAAUCGAUGGAAAGAGCCCAGAUUCGGCUUACUUCAUCACUAUUUUGGAUAAAAAUAGGCUCGUGUUUAUUAGAGUUUGAUAAAAAAGAUCUUUUGCAUGCAAUUGGUGUCAUGUUUGGAGGGGUAAUCAGAUCUGAAAUCAAUGGAGAUUUAUGCCAUCUAAGGAUUAAUUUGGAUGUGCAAAAAUCACUUCGAUGAGGUAUAUUUGUCUCAAUUGAUAAUAUUAAUAAAUCGUGGGUUCGUUUUAAGUAUGAGAAAUUACUGAUGUUUUGCUUUGGAUGUGGAAGAAUGGGGCAUGGUUUCAAAGACUGUCUUCAGCUAAAUCCUGCAGAAAAAAGUAAAAUCAGAGAUGAUCCACCUUAUACGGCGGCUUUAAAAGUAGAAUAAAAUUUAAUUGGGAAGGAGAGUAUGAAAUUUAAUGUUUUUUCAAAGAAGGUGGGGGCUCAAUGCUCUUAUACAGAAGGUACAGAAUUGCUGCCAAACUACAACACCUGUAGAGAGAAACAACAAGAAUUGGAGGCCACAAGGGAAUGUGCAACUGAUUGGAGUGGAGAAUGAGAUUAAGAAGCAGGAGGACAUAUCUAUAAUAAAGGAAGAUGAACAGUUAAAUGACAACAAUAAAAAGUAGGUUAUUAAUUUAAAUCUAACUAAGAAGACAAGCUAGAAAAGAAUUGGUCCAGUGGCCACGAUGAGUCAAAGAAAAGAUGAUAGUAGCACGAGGAAGAUGAAAUCCCCAGAAGAAUGAAUCGACAUUUGUGGGAUGGAAGUUGCAUAUGAAGAUAGAAAAAAAAGAUUGAAACAGGAAGGAAAAGAUGAUCGUGAUCAAGUCUUACCAGAAGUGAUGACUGAAAACCUGGAGCAAAUUGAUACUUUAGAAUUUAUGGGAUCAACGGCUGCCAAAAGGCAAGCCGACCGAACGUAAUUAAAAACAUAAGUUGGAAUGUCCAUGGAUUGGGGAGUCUAUGGGCGGUAAGAAGGCUACGAUAUUUUUUAAAGCAGCACAAUCCCCAUAUAGUCUUCUUAAUGGAGACCAAACUUGACAAGCAACGCAUGGAAAAGGUCGGAAGGAGCUGUGAUUUCCAGAAUAGGAUUGAUGUCGAAGCUAAAAUUUCGCGAGGUGGAUUAUGUUUAGCAUGGAAAGGAGAUAUUGUAGUUAAUUUAAAAAGUUUCUCUAAGAACCACAUUGAUGUCUUGGUUAAAGAGGAAAAUGACAAAGAAGAAUGGAGAUUCACGGGUUUCUAUGGUUCACCCUAUGUUAAUAAUAAUGCUUCUUAGAAUCUGCUAAGGAAAUUAGAACAAGAUCAAAAUCAUCUAUGGUUAGUAAGCGGUGAUUUUAAUGAAAUCAUGUAUUAUUUUGAAAAAAAGUGGAGGGAUACCAAGAGAGGAGAGAAGAAUGGAGGCCCUCCGAGAGACUUUAGAAGAAUGCCAGUUAGAAGAUUUGAGAUAUUUGGGGGUUUGGUUUACAUGGGAAAGGGGGAAUUUGCCAGAAACAAAUAUCAAGGAAAGACUGGAUAGGAGAGUUAUAAAUGAUAAAUUGAGGCAUCUAUUUCUAACAGGUAACAUUCAACAUUUAUCCCAUUCGAUGUCUGAUCACUGUUCACUUCUUCUAAAUACAAAAAGUGGAAACAAUUAUGUGGGAAACCCAAGAUUUAAAUUUGAGGCAUGGUGGAUCAUGGAGGAGACACUUGAGGAAGAAAUUAAAACAUCAUGGGAAUCAAUAACAGGCAUAAUAGUGGAGAAAUUUGAACGAUUACAAUCAGAUCUAAAGGUAUGGGAGAGAUCAAUUAAAAAAGUCGAGAGGGAUUAAAGAAAAAGCUCACCAAGGAACUUGAAAUGUUGAUGGCGGAAGAAAUGAAUGAUGAAACGAUGGCAAAAAUUAUUGAUACUAAGAUUUUUCUUAAUAUGAAAAUUGAUAAAGAUGAAUUGUACUAGGAACAAAGGGAAAUGGCAAAUUGACUUAAAGUAAGGGACAAGAAUUCAGCCUUCUUUCACAAGUAUGCCUCAUUUCGUAAACGAAUAAACACAAUAUCUAGGCUGGAGCUAGAUGGAGGAGGAGAGGCUACCGAAGCAAGUGAGAUCAAUGAAGCUGCUACCUUAUUUUUUAGAAGCUAUUUAUGUGAAAUGGAGUUAGGGAUCUAUCUCAUCUAUUAACAGACAUAGAAAAUAAUAUUUCGUUAGACAUUAAUAUUGCUCUAUUAUCAACUUAUACAGAAGAAGAAGUGCAUUUGGCCUUGAAAAGGAUGGGGCCUACUAAAGCACCAGGACCUGAUGGUUUCCUAGCACUAUUUUCUCAGAGAUAUUGGCACAUUGUAGGUGAUAAAGUCACAACUUUCUGUUUGGGAAUUUUAAAUAAUGAUCAGAGUUUUGGCUCUCUCAACCUAAUGGAUAUCAUGUUGAUCCCAAAUAUUCCAAAUCCCACAAGUCUAGUCAACUAUAGACCUAUUAGUUUGUGUUUGGUCCUAUAUAAAAUUGUGGCUAAGACAAUUACUAAUCGACUUCAAGCAGUAAUUGGGAGAUGUAUUGAUGCGGCCAAAGUGCUUUCGUCCCGAGAAGGUUAAUUUCCGAUAAUGUGCUCUUAACUUAUGAGAUUUUGCAUACUUUUCGACAAAAACGCAUAGGGAAAAAAGGAAAUAUGGUAGUAAAGCUUGAUAUGAGCAAAGCCUAUGAUAGAGUUGAAUGGGGUUUUAUUAAGGAAGUUAUGUUAUGGAUGAGUUUUGCAAAGGAAUGGGUGGAACUAAUUAUGAAAUGCAUUACCACAACGUCUUAUGCAGUUAAUAUAAAUGGAGGAAGGGGAAGAAUUUUUCAAUUGACUAGAGGCUUGCGUCAGGGAGAUCCUCUAACUCCCUUCCUUUUUCUGUUGUGUAGCGAGGGACUUUCAUUGUUGAUGAGACUAGCAAUGAAUGAGGGUUUGCUAAAAGGUGUAAAGGCUAGUAGGAGAGGUCCAAAAAUAUCACAUUUACUUUUUGCAUAUGAUUGUAUACUGUUCAGUGAAGUAUCAGACAAGGGAACAAUGCUACUAAAAGGAAUCCUGAAGGAGUAUGAAAAAUACUCAGGCCAAUGUGUAAAUUUCAAUAAAUCCACGAUUUUCUACAGUUCGAACACUUCAGAAGAAAAGAAAUAUGAAGUCUCGACAAUCUUAGGGGUAAUAAGGUCAACAAAUUUGGAAAAGUAUUUAGGCCUUCCUAAUAUAGUUGGUAGACGAAAGAAAGAGUCUUUUCAGAAUCUUAAAAAGAAGGUUUACUCCAAAAUUGAAGGGUGGAGCACUAGAUUAUUAUCACAAGGAGGUAAGGAAGUCUUUAUAAAAUCAGUGCUUUAGGCUAUUCCAACCUAUGCCAUGUCUUGUUUUCUUCUUCCAAAUUCUCUUUGUAGAGAAUUAGAAAGUAUUUUUGCUAAAUUCUGGUGGCAAAAAGCACAUGGAAAAAAAGGAAUACAUUGGUGUCAGUGGAAGUAUAUGUGUCAACCUAAAGAAGGUGGAAUGGGCCUUAGGAAUAUGGCUUGAUUUAAUGUCUCACUGCUAGUUAAGCAAGGUUGGAGAAUUCUAAACAAUCCAAACUCUUUAGUUGCGCAAGUUUUAAAAGAAAAAUAUUUUCCAAGUGUGAAUUUUUUAAAUUUGCAUUUUGGGAACAAUAGUUUGUACACAUGGAAGAGCAUAUGGGCAACAAAGGGCAUUUUAGAGGAGGGACUAUGCUGGAAGGUGGGCAGGGGUAUGAAUAUUUCAGUUAUUAAUGACGUAUGGCUUUCAGAUGCAAGAAAUGUCAUAUUAUCAUCUUUAGUUAAUAAUUUGAGCGAUUUUAAAGUUAUUGAGUUAAUUGAUACUAAUAGCAGAACAUGGAAAAAGGAGUUGAUAGUCUUUACCUUUCCGGAGGAAGUAGCUGAAAAGAUUCUUCGCAUUCCGUUGGCAGAAGAACCCCAUGAUGAUUUUUGGGCCUGGAGUGGUGAGCCUUCGGGAGAAUACACAGUGCGUAGCGCUUAUAAACUAUUACAAAGCACGAAAGAAGAUCCUAGAACUUAUGCUUUACAAACCGACUAUAGGGAAUUUUAUAAAAAAUUAUGGCUACUCAAUCUACCUUCAAAAAUAAAAAUUACAGUCUGAAAAAUAUCAUAGAACUAUCUACCUAUACGAGUCAACAUGCAACAUAGGAAGUUAUCAAACACUACAACCUGCCCCCGGUGUAAAAGAGGAACAAAAAAUAUAGACCACCUCUUCCGUGAAUGUCCUGUUUCAGUAUCAAUAUGGAGAGAGUUAUCAUGCCAGAAUUUUCUAUAAGAACCUCAUUUGGAGUUUUUACAGUGGCUAACCUGGGUGUUUGCACAGAGUACUCCAUCCUAGUAUAGGAUUUUUUGCUGUGUCUUAUGGGCAAUAUGAGGAGACAAGAACUUUAGAAUGCAUAAGAAGGUCAGUAAAUCUGGAAAAGAAAUAGUGAGCUUCGUUAAUAGCUACAUUUCUGAGUUAAAUGAGAUUGAAAAAAGAAGUCCCAAAAUUUCUCCAGCAGUUAGUAAGUGGAACCACCCACCUGGCCAGUUCGUGAAGAUAAAUUUUGAUGCAGCAUAUGAUGGGAGAUUUUGUCAAUCAGCAGUAGGGAUUGUGGCCAGAAAUAGUGAAGGCAAUGUUCUUUUAUCCUGUUCAGAAAUCCAUCAACGAGUAGCAUCAGCCUUCGCUGCUGAGGCUCUCGUGUGCCGCAAAGCUACCCGAAUUGGCAUCGACAUACAAUGGCCAAAAAUUAUCAUUGAAGGCGAUUCAUUAUCAAUAAUAAAAAAGUGCAAUGUGAAAAGUCCAGAUAAGUCAUAGUAGGUGCUUAUAUACAUGAUAUUCAAUAGCUACUGUUAAAAUCCAGAAACUGUAGAUUUGAAUAUAUCCCACGAAUAGCAAAUAGUUUAGCACAUAUUUUAGCUAUUGAAACUCUGAAGAAUAAGAAGGAGCUUUACCUGGUAGGAAGCGUCCCCGAAUAUGCAGAAAAGCAAACAUAAAGGGAUAGGAUGAGAGAACCAAACUGAAAAUAAAGAGAAAAAGAUGAAAUAUGGAGAGUUUGAAAUGGGAAAUCAACGGGUUAGGUGGAAAAAAGCUCUCCUUGGAAUUUAGAAGCUUCUUAGGGAUAAGGAGAGAGUACACGACUGAAAAUAAAGGAAAAAGAUGAAAUAUGGAGAGUUUGAAAUGGGAAAUCAAUGGAUUCUGUGGAAAAAAUCUCUCCUUGGAAAUCUGGUCUUAAAGAAGAAAUGGCAUAUAAUAAGACAAGACAUGUAGCAGAUUGGUUUCUGAUUGGGCAGAGUAAUGAAAGUUUUAAUGCGGUUUUAGAGUCUUUUGAUUUUCUUUGUUUGAAUUUUUCGGGCUAAACAUUAAUUUUAGCCUUCUUUUUCUGUUUUUUUUUUUAUAUUAGGAUUAGUUUCAGCUAUUGUUUUAAAUUUCAUGGUUGAUUUGUCCGGGCCAAGAUCUAUUUCUGGGCCUCUUUCCAUUUGUUUCUCCAUUAGUUUUAUGUUUUGUAUUAUUGAUUUAUUAUAAUAAAGCCCAAUCUGAUUAUUAGCCUAAAAAAUAAUAAUAAAAUUUUACUUAUAAUAUAUAUUUAUUUUCCAUACAGAGAGUCGGCGGUAAGUUAGAAUUUUUUUUUCGAAUGGGAGCAAAUAGAGUUUAUAUUUAAAGAAAAAAAAAAAGAGUGGGAUAAUAUCAUGAAAAUUUGGAGCAUAUUAGGUCAAAAAAAUAGAUUUUUUAUUGAUAUAAUUAAGGAUGAAAAUAAAUAUUUUAGAAUCUCAUGUGAUGGGCCUAAUCGUCAAGGGUAUUUACUGCCUCAAAUAUGGUUUAUCCAAUUUUGUAAUUAAAAAAAAAAGAUUAUAAAACUUAGAGUUGGACUUUAGAUUAUUUGUGAUCUCAACUGGUCAUAGAUUGUUGGGCCUUAUUCAAACUAGCCUUUUUAACUUUUUAUUUGUAAACAAUUUUUAGCCCAACUUAAACAACCUAAUAAAUUAUAGCUUAGGAUUUGUUCUAAUAAAAUCUAUAGAGUUAAUGUCUAGAAUUAAUUGUUUGAAAAUUUAUUAAAAUAUUUUUUUGUAUUUAAAAUAAAUUAUAUUAUUUAAUAUUAUUUUAAUUUUUUACUAAAAAAUAAUAAAAUAUUAUAGAUAUGAUGAGAUUUGAACCAUAUCCUUAUUAAAUUUAAUUUGUACACUUUAUUACCUCUACUAAUUGUAUGUAUUAAUAAUAUUAUUGAUUGAGUUGGUGUCACAAAUUAACUCAACAUCAACUUAGGAUAGACGAUGACUUCAUGAUAUAAACAAUUGUAUUAAUUUAAUAUUCUUAAUCUAAUGUAUUUAUGUGUUUAAAUUUCGUUUUACUCACAAUUUAAUAUAUUUUUUAAUUUUAAUAUUGUACAUAUUUCAUGUGUUAUCAUUAAUUUGUUCCAAAACAUACAUUUCAUUAUUUAUUAUAUGUUAUUUUUAAACACACUCAUGUAUUCUAAUUAUGUGGUUUCUACAUGCACACCUAUGUGAUAAAACUUCUAGUUAAAAAUAGUAGUAAAAGUGAUAUUAAUUAUUAUAACAAUGAGAUUAGAUAUUAUAAUAGUGAAAUUGAUAUCAAUAAUGAAAUUAUGUGUUUGGAUUUAAGUCCAACAAAAAAACAAUAAUGAAAUUGAAAUAAAUAAUUUCUUAUAAUAUUUUAUAGGAGACAGAUGCAGUUUAUAUCAAUGUAAGUCUAGUCUAUUUAUAAGUAGUUUUGCACAUUUUUUAUUCGUAUUUUAACAAUUCAACAACAUAGAGAAUAGAGAGAAAACCAACUGUUUAAAGGGAGGAGCUAGGAAGAAGGGGAGGAGGCCGACAAAAGGAUCCAAGGCUUCCCCCCAAGCUUGGCCAUGUAGAGAAAGCAGAAGAAGAGAGUGUAGAGGCCCAAUUUAGCUCGGGCCUAUAAACCAGAAACCUAAUAACAAAAAAAUAUAAAGUCCAUAAGUCCAAUAGCCCAAUAACUAACUAAACCCUAAACCCAAUAACUAACUAAACCCAUAACCCAAUACCCAAAUAAACAAAUAGGGCCAAAAUGGCCCAAGACCAGAUCAGCCACAGAAACCCUAGGGCUUCCACUUUGGCCCUUCAGCCUCUAGCCCCCGUACCCUCCCAGCUCCGUAUGCUCUAGUGCUUCAGCAGCCACCAGCUUCCGUACGCCCCACGUCGAGUGCCAUGUACCACCACAACUGGCCUCGUUCCCUGUACCUGCAAACCAAAACAGGACAACAGCAAAAUAGCAAAGGAAAUGUAUUUUUCUUUUUAUUUUCUGGCUAUAAGAAGCCCAAAAGGAAUUAUCUUGUUUUUUUUUUACGGAUACCAAGUAAUGAAAUAGAAAACAAAUAUUUUUUAAGGUGGUUGAUUUGCUGUUCUCUUUCUUAUUUUUCUCUUUAUUUCUCGCCUAGUUUUUAUCUGUUUUACUAAGAUACACACAAAAAAAAGGGGAAAAAUCUCUUACCUGUCGAUCGGCACCGACCUAGUCGGUGGUUGCUUCUUCGUCCAAGGGCAGACAGAUCCCUGGGGAUCCGGCUAGAGCCACGACGUAGGGUGAGGCGCAUU